Molecule: unclassified non-coding RNA, 212 nt
Filed under: Glomeraceae sp.
Lineage: Eukaryota; Fungi; Glomeromycota; Glomeromycetes; Glomerales; Glomeraceae
Description: partial contains 5.8S ribosomal RNA and internal transcribed spacer 2
Rfam family: 5.8S ribosomal RNA (bases 1-71)
Source: RNAcentral
GUGAAUCAUCGAAUCUUUGAACGCAAAUUGCACUCCCUGGUAUUCCGGGGAGUAUGCCUGUUUGAGGGUCGUUAGAAUAAAAAAUUGUGGCUUCGCUCUUUUUUUGAUUGUGAUCGCGUCUGUAUUGAGCCGUCUUUCAAAUGUUAAUUAAUGUCUAAGUUUCGUAAAAUUCAUCCAUCCUGUACGAUUAAAGCGUAUUUUAGACCAAUUUU